RNAcentral lists this transfer RNA (73 nucleotides) under Homarus americanus (American lobster). Its description in RNAcentral is "tRNA-Arg". It matches the Rfam family "tRNA". From Rfam's summary of the family: Transfer RNA (tRNA) molecules are approximately 80 nucleotides in length. Their secondary structure includes four short double-helical elements and three loops (D, anti-codon, and T loops). RNAcentral also lists the same sequence under 1 other name. The record is from Rfam by way of RNAcentral. Lineage: Eukaryota; Metazoa; Arthropoda; Malacostraca; Decapoda; Nephropidae.
AUCCCCAUGGCGCAGUGGAAAGCGCGCUGGACUUCUAAUCCAGAGGUCGCGGGUUCGAAUCCCGCUGGGGAUA